GAGUUUGAUUCUGGCUCAGGAUGAACGCUGACAGAAUGCUUAACACAUGCAAGUCAACUUGAACUUCGGUUUGGGUGGCGGACGGGUGAGUAACGCGUAAAGAACUUGCCUCACAGUCUGGGACAACAUCUGGAAACGGAUGCUAAAACUGGAUAUUAUGAACUAUGCGCAUGCAUGGAUUAUGAAAGCUAUAUGCGCUGUGAGAGAGCUUUGCGUCCCAUUAGCUAGUUGGAGAGGUAACGGCUCACCAAGGCGAUGAUGGGUAGCCGGCCUGAGAGGGUGAACGGCCACAAGGGGACUGAGACACGGCCCUUACUCCUACGGGAGGCAGCAGUGGGGAAUAUUGGACAAUGGACCAAGAGUCUGAUCCAGCAAUUCUGUGUGCACGAUGAAGUUUUUCGGAAUGUAAAGUGCUUUCAGUUGGGAAGAAGAAAGUGACGNACCAACAGAAGAGCGACGG
This 460-nucleotide ribosomal RNA is filed under the name Fusobacterium sp. canine oral taxon 189. RNAcentral's name for it is "bacterial SSU rRNA". It matches the Rfam family "Bacterial small subunit ribosomal RNA", at positions 9 to 496 of the family's 1533-position model. The record is from RNAcentral. Lineage: Bacteria; Fusobacteriati; Fusobacteriota; Fusobacteriia; Fusobacteriales; Fusobacteriaceae.